This is a non-coding RNA of Porphyromonas sp., 402 nucleotides long. It matches the Rfam family "transfer-messenger RNA". Rfam says of the family: Bacterial tmRNA, also known as 10Sa RNA or SsrA, is named for its dual tRNA and mRNA-like properties. The record is from Rfam. NCBI's taxonomy places the organism in Bacteria, Pseudomonadati, Bacteroidota, Bacteroidia, Bacteroidales, Porphyromonadaceae.
GGGGAUGACUGGUUUUGACAGCGCGUAGAGGUGGUUUGUAAGCACGUAGUGCAUUGUAGCCUGGCACUUUAAUCUCAGACUUCAGACCUUUUAAAUGGCGCAAAUAAUUACGCUCUUGCUGCGUAACCGAAGUACAGUAAGUUAACGCUUUAUCCCUGCAAGCUGCGGGGACGAGACACUACCCGGAUACUCUUAUCCCGAAGUGGUCCGAUCAUGGUAGUGCCGGUAUAUCGGGGUUAUCCUUUGCAUCGCCUUGCUGUAAGGGAGACAUUUUAGAGGCUAAGCACGGAAGAGGUAGCUUCAUCCAUACUUCCGACGCCGACAAUAGAAGUGAAGCUAAACGUGUAGAAAGCAAAUUAGUUCCGUGUUUGGACGAGGGUUCAAAUCCCUCCAUCUCCACAG